Long non-coding RNA from Zingiber officinale, 784 nucleotides. RefSeq lists it as uncharacterized. NCBI's taxonomy places the organism in Eukaryota, Viridiplantae, Streptophyta, Magnoliopsida, Zingiberales, Zingiberaceae. The transcript is spliced from 2 exons. The record is from RefSeq and is a predicted model, not a curated record.
ACCUGUUUAACAAAUUUAAAGAGAUACCUGGAUGAUUAGGUUUUGUCCGUCUCGACCACCAAAUCAGAUAUCAAUUCACGGAGGGGAAAAAAAAAUUCAAAAGCAUAUACGCAGUAAAUACAAAGCAGCAGCAUAGAACGCAACACAAUCGUAAACCACAAGGAACAACGAGAAGAAAAUGCCCUAAAAUGAUUGACUGCAGGUAAAAAGAAAGAAGCAUCGGGAAACAAGGGCUUCGUACACCAGUUCGAGAGGGAGGAGGAAAAGAUAGGGUUUUGGUACCAGUUCCAGAGACCGAUCUUGAAGGGGUCGGACUUGCGAAAGGAGAAAGGGGAGAGGGUAUCGAUCCUCCAUUGAGCGAGCCGCGGCGUGGUCUCCACCCGGUACGCGCGCUCGCUCAUCCUCGCUGCCGACGCCGCGAUCGCUGCGGCGACGUCAUUGAUACAGUCGAAGAUCCCCAGCAAGUCCUCCGCCUUUCCCAGUUUCGCCUGCUGCUCUUCCACGGUUCCUUCUCAUCAACACCCCGCGCAGGCGCAGAAGCAGAGGCACUCCCCUCCUCCGUUACUCCCACCAAAACCUAGAAAUAGCCAAAAGUGGACAAGGAAACGGAGAAUCCGUCAAGGAAUCCAGCACGCAAAGCUCACCAGCAAUUGCUUCUACGCCAUUUGUUUUAUGCGGAGUGGAGGAGGGACAGCGAAAGUAAAGGAGCUUCUUUUAACGGCCUCGGCCAUGUCCUAAUUCUCAAGCUUCAGACCUUCCCUAUUUAUAAACAAAUGGAGAUGAA